Molecule: transfer-messenger RNA, 400 nt
Filed under: Patescibacteria group
Lineage: Bacteria
Also listed under: 1 other name
Description: UBA10014 sp000996355 Standard tmRNA
Rfam family: transfer-messenger RNA
About the family: Bacterial tmRNA, also known as 10Sa RNA or SsrA, is named for its dual tRNA and mRNA-like properties. Its role is to liberate the mRNA from a stalled ribosome.
Source: RNAcentral
GGGACUGAUCGGGAUCGAUGGGAGUCUGCAGCCCAAGUGUGCAAGCCGAGGGAGUAUUCAACCUCGUAAAUCCUGAAUACACGAGAAGCAACUGCCAACAUCUUCUCUCAGGUGAAGACUGCAUUCGCGAAAGCGUUUGCUGUUCCAGCCUUUGCACCGGUCGUCGCUUAAGUCGAUGACCCGCCCAUUUCCUUGAUGCUCGAUAAGGGAAAUUCGGGUGUCAUAUCUUUCGAGCUGGACCGCCGGGUCGCCGGUCUCCGUCGGUCAAGAGUUGCGAUCGGUAGCGUGUUCACGUUUCGUUCUGUUUUUCAGUGGACACGUCUUCUAAGCAGAACUGAGCUUGGAGAAACAUUUGAGUCGCACUUACCAGACGGGGGUUCAAUUCCCCCCAGUUCCAUCA